Molecule: long non-coding RNA, 533 nt
Filed under: Ananas comosus (pineapple)
Lineage: Eukaryota; Viridiplantae; Streptophyta; Magnoliopsida; Poales; Bromeliaceae
Description: long non-coding RNA (ACOM_LNC015649)
Source: RNAcentral
UGUUAGGAAGUCAUGAGUCCGAUUACUAUACUCUUAUAAGUACGAUCGCCUUCAUACCCAUAAGUACUUUUGAUGAUAGAGCUUUCCGAAUCGUCGAUUUACACCAUUAAAUAUUAUCUAGAGCAUUUAGAACAUCUAGCAAUCAAAUUUUAUAAUUUUUCGACAUCAUUUUCCUUACGAUCAAAAGAUCACAAAAUUAAUAAUUUUUAACGGCCGGUAUGAAAUACUUGGUAGUUUAACGCUAUAAAAGAAUCGAAAUCGAUUGACUUUUUGAUACAAAAUUCUAUUCACUACAUAAAUAAAGAUCAAUAACUCCAAUCUUAAAUUGAAAGAUCCGAUCAUAUAUUUUUAAGACGCCGUUUGAUUUUGACCGUUCAUUUUAUACCCGCUUGAUGAACUUUAUUAUGAUUUCGAAAAAUUACGAAAUUUAUUUUUUAGAAAUUUCAGAGUCUAGAUCAUAUUUAACGAAGUGGAUCGUUGAUUUGGAAGCUCUAUCAUUAAAAACAACCUACGAGUAUGAAAUGCUCUAUAUU